Long non-coding RNA from Cajanus cajan (pigeon pea), 863 nucleotides. RefSeq lists it as uncharacterized. The record is from RefSeq and is a predicted model, not a curated record. NCBI's taxonomy places the organism in Eukaryota, Viridiplantae, Streptophyta, Magnoliopsida, Fabales, Fabaceae.
AAAAAAUAAAAAGGAAGAAAAAGAAUAACCUAAAUUCGUGAAACAGAAACAGUAAUUGGGGAAAACCAGCAGAAAUCCUUACAUUAGGGUUAUGAGAGGAGCUCUCCAAUUUCUCUCCGCAGACUAUGCGUUGGUGCUAACCGGAAGAAGAUCAACACACGAUACCAUCGCGGCUGGCCUAACAAGUGAAGCGGAAAGGGAGAACAGCAGUGAAAGAAAGUAACUCGAAGGGGGUUACCGUUGGAAAUCAUUUUUGAAGGUGACCCACGGUGAUUCUUGUGGGGAUUUGUUUGGGGAAGGAAGAAGAAGCAAACACCGCCGUCGAAAAUCAUUUUCGAUGGCGGUGGCUCACGGUGGUCCUUGCGUUUUGGCCAUAGACUCACAGGUCGCGAAAAAGAGGUGGCAAAGUGAGCGAGAGAGAAAAGAAAAAAAGAAAAAAAAAGGAAGAACACACUAUGGUUGCUGGAAAUCAGUACGGACAACAAAUAGUUGAGGGCAUGGUGUCUUGAUUGCAGUGGUAAGGUAGAAUUGCAACAGAGUAGUUGAAGGGGAGUAGUUGUUGGGGUUCACGGAAGAUACGAUCAACACGUUUCUUUUCUUCUUAUUUUUCUAUUUUGUUUCGUUGUUUGUUUUUUUUCUUUUUUUAUUUUGCUUUUAAUUUUUUUUUUGCUUUUAAUUUGUAUUAUAUUUUGUAAUAUGUAUGGACUGGACUUUUUUUUAUUUAUACAGGGAGACAAAAUUUGGAGUUAACAGAUGCCCCUCUUUACUUAAGUUUUACUAAAGAAUAUGAAAACAAUGAUUUUCAUUUUUUUGUAGUAAAAUUUAAGUAAAGACUUAAUUCCAAUUUUGUUUGUGGCAUGAAA